RNAcentral lists this ribosomal RNA (844 nucleotides) under uncultured bacterium. RNAcentral's name for it is "bacterial SSU rRNA". It matches the Rfam family "Bacterial small subunit ribosomal RNA", at positions 21 to 906 of the family's 1533-position model. The record is from RNAcentral.
GGCUCAGGACGAACGCUGGCGGUGUGCUUCACACAUGCAAGUCGAACGAGGUAGCAAUACCUAGUGGCGGACGGGUGAGUAACGCGUGGGAAUCUGCCUUUGAAUGGGGGAUAACGGGCCGAAAGGUCCGCUAAUACCGCAUAGGCCGCAAGGUUAAAGGAGUAAUCCGUUCAAAGAUGAGCCCGCGUCCGAUUAGCUAGUUGGUAAGGUAAAGGCUUACCAAGGCGACGAUCGGUAGCUGGUCUGAGAGGAUGAUCAGCCACAAUGGGACUGAGACACGGCCCAUACUCCUACGGGAGGCAGCAGUGGGGAAUUUUACGCAAUGGGGGAAACCCUGACGUAGCGACACCGCGUGAGCGAAGAAGCCCUUUGGGGUGUAAAGCUCUGUCAGUUGGAACGAAAAAAAUGACGGUACCAACAGAGGAAGCAUCGGCUAACUACGUGCCAGCAGCCGCGGUAAGACGUAGGAUGCGAGCGUUGUCCGGAUUUAUUGGGCGUAAAGAGUUCGUAGGUGGUUUGUUAAGUCUGAUGUUAAAGAUUGGGGCUCAACCCUGAAACUGCAUUGGAUACUGGCAGACUUGAGUGUGGUAGAGGCUAGUGGAAUUCCCAGUGUAGCGGUGAAAUGCGUAGAUAUUGGGAAGAACACCGGUGGCGUAGGCGACUAGCUGGGCCAUAACUGACACUGAGGAACGAAAGCCAGGGUAGCGAAUGGGAUUAGAUACCCCAGUAGUCCUGGCCGUAAACGAUGGAUACUAGGCGUAUCGGGUAUCGACCCCUGAUGUGCCGCAGCUAACGCGAUAAGUAUCCCGCCUGAGUAGUACGGGCCGCAGGGUGAAACUCAAAG